AUUUGAAUAUGCUCAAGGAUUUUCUCCGUGAGGAGAAAUUCCAGAAAGGAACAGUUCACUAGCUCAAGAAGGUCGGCUAUAGAAAUACUAAAAAUGAUGAUUUGUGGGACAGUCUGUCAAGUAUACUCUGAAUUUAUGAAAAAAGACCAACUGAGUGAAAUUCAAUGUGGACUCAAAUGGCUAAUACCCUAUUCACUAUAAAGGGUCAUGGAUGGAACCAACUGAUUCACAGAAUAUAAUGAACUCUAAGAUAUGCACAAGCCCCCGGCAUCUGUUUUAGACCUCAGUGCAGGGCAGUUGGCACUGGACAAAGCCCUCGACCUGAUUCACUAUCUCCAGUAUGAAACAAGCAGCCCUGUACUUCUCAAAGGCCAGAGAUGCUUAGAAUUAUUUUACCACAUGAUGGACAGAAGGAAUAUUUCAGAUGUCAUUGAAAAUCUCAAGGUAUAAAAGAGAUGAAUGAAAAUAAGAAAAUAAGGACAAACUCCUCUCAUUCAGCCCAGGCAAAGCAUCGCUAGGAAAGUGACCUAGUGAAGCAGUUGAAAGAAACUAUGUUUUGGAAGUCCUCCUCCAAAACUGGAUUUGUCCUGAGUUUUUUCAGUGUUUCGACUUGUGUGAGAACUAGAACCCACUCCAGUAUGUUCCUAGACCUAAAAUAUCUCUCAGAAAGAACCAAUGAUGACUAGAUUUCAUUGGAAGAUUUGACUUGGGCUCGUUUGCCAUGAGAACCAUCACUUCUGCUACAACAAUCUCACUUUUUUCCCUAGGAUGAGCUACAAGAGUUUUGUUAAUUUCUAUUGUUAACGAAUUUAAAAUAAAUGUCCAAAAUGUAAAAUUGAAGAUACAUUUACAUGCAUUCUGGUUUGAAGUUCUCAUUUUAUCAUGAAAAAAGUUAUUUGUCCAAUGCCAUGGAACAUUGUAAAUGAAAGGGAGAGGAUUAAAGUCUGACUCUUAAAGUAGCUCCCCAUAGCAUUCCAAAUUAAUAUACAAUAAUAAUAUUGAUAGAUGAGAAGAUUAUUCUGAAGUUUGGAAAAGUAGCUAACUGUAUUUUCUUUUUUUAUUAUUCAUUCAGUAUAUUGGUACAUUUUAGGUAUACACUAUGA
Molecule: non-coding RNA, 1103 nt
Organism: Heterocephalus glaber (naked mole-rat)
Lineage: Eukaryota; Metazoa; Chordata; Mammalia; Rodentia; Bathyergidae
Source: RefSeq, a predicted model, not a curated record